This 432-nucleotide ribosomal RNA is filed under the name uncultured bacterium. RNAcentral describes it as "bacterial SSU rRNA". It matches the Rfam family "Bacterial small subunit ribosomal RNA", at positions 8 to 432 of the family's 1533-position model. The record is from RNAcentral.
AGAGUUUGAUCCUGGCUCAGGAUGAACGCUGGCGGCGUGCUUAACACAUGCAAGUCGAACGGAGUAAUUAAAGUAGCUUGCUACAUUAAUUGCUUAGUGGCGGACGGGUGAGUAACGCGUGGAUAACCUACCUUACACAGGGGGAUAACAACGAGAAAUCGUUGCUAAUACCGCAUAAGUGUGAUUUCCGCAUGGGGAUCAUAUGAAAGCUCCGGCGGUGUAAGAUGGGUCCGCGUCUGAUUAGCUAGUUGGUGAGAUAACAGCCCACCAAGGCAACGAUCAGUAGCCGGCUUGAGAGAGUGGACGGCCACACUGGGACUGAGACACGGCCCAGACUCCUACGGGAGGCAGCAGUGGGGAAUAUUGCACAAUGGGGGAAACCCUGAUGCAGCGACGCCGCGUGAAGGAUGAAGGUCUUCGGAUCGUAAACUU